GUGAACGCCCUCACGGGCUUAUACUAUUCCAAACCUCUGUGAACCGUGCCCUUCGGGGCUAUUUUACAAACAUGGUGUAAUGAACGUCAAAUAUCAUAACAAAACA
Molecule: unclassified non-coding RNA, 106 nt
Filed under: soil metagenome
Description: partial internal transcribed spacer 1
Source: RNAcentral